RNAcentral lists this ribosomal RNA (780 nucleotides) under Neocallimastix frontalis. RNAcentral's name for it is "partial large subunit ribosomal RNA". It matches the Rfam family "Eukaryotic large subunit ribosomal RNA", at positions 38 to 667 of the family's 3401-position model. Lineage: Eukaryota; Fungi; Neocallimastigomycota; Neocallimastigomycetes; Neocallimastigales; Neocallimastigaceae. The record is from RNAcentral.
GCAUAGCAAUAAGCGGAGGAAAAGAAACUAACAAGGAUUCCCUUAGUAACGGCGAGUGAAGCGGGAAGAGCUCAAAUUUGAAAUCUUCAAGGUUCUACCUUGACGAAUUGUAGUUUAAAGAAGUGUUUUCUGUUAGAUGAGUAGCAAAAGUUCCUUGGAAUGGGACAUCAUAGAGGGUGAGAAUCCCGUAUUUGGUUAUUCAUUCUAGCUUUGUGAUACACUUUCAAAGAGUCGGAUUGUUUGGGAAUGCAGUCCAAAAUGGGUGGUAAAUUUCAUCUAAAGCUAAAUAUUGGCGAGAGACCGAUAGCGAACAAGUACCGUGAGGGAAAGAUGAAAAGAACUUUGAAAAGAGAGUUAAACAGUACGUGAAAUUGUCAAAAGGGAAGCGUUUGACACCAGUGUUGUUUUUCCGAAAAUCAAUUACGAAUGGCUUGAUUUUGUGUUGUAUUGACCUUAUCAGCUUUCUGCACUUUUUUCGAGUCUUUCUUAAUGCACUUUUCGGUUAACAAGUCAACAUCAAUUUCUUUUGUUGUAAAAGAGUAUUCGGAAGGUGGCUUUCUUUUCGGAGAAAGUGUUUAUAGCCCUAUACUUCUACAAUCGGAGAGAUUGAGGUCUGCAGCGUAGAUCCUUCGGGGUUAGAUACACUUGUGCUAAGUUGUAGCUUUUCAUAGACAACUUGUUGGCUAUGUUUAGUCAUGCGGCUUACUCGCUUGUGCUAUUUUACCUACGCUUAGGAUGUUGACAAAAUGGUUUUAAACGACCCGUCUUGAAACACGGACC